AGGAGGUGUCCAUGUAAAUGAGGUCCUUCUAGUGACAGCCCAGACCCCCCUCCCAAGCCCUGAUGCUUCAGCUCAGCUGAAGGACACACCCUGGGGACAACGGAGGUUGGCAUCACCACUGAGGAGACCGCUGGGAGGAAGCACCUGCAGACACAGCACAUAGGUCCUUGCUCAGGGGAACUUGUCACAACAGAAGUGACACAGAUGAUUCCUGUGCAUUAAAGCAAUGGAUACCAGCUGCAGUCCAUUAAAGAGACUGGGGCCUCAACUCUGGACUCAUCAAGAGCUUCCUAGAGGUAGUGACAGCUGCAUAUAUGCGGUGUUCUUCCUCUGGAUGUCCUUCAACCUGACCUCACAGAAGUUCUAAUAAGGUAUGGGCCAUCAGAAGGGCACCAUCCAUGUCAUUCACUGAUCUUUUUACCACCUCUAGAUUUCUACUUCUUCCAAAGUGGAAUACAAUUACAAGUAGAUAGAAGGCAGCCAUUUAGAUGUUCU
Long non-coding RNA from Suricata suricatta (meerkat), 495 nucleotides. RefSeq lists it as uncharacterized. NCBI's taxonomy places the organism in Eukaryota, Metazoa, Chordata, Mammalia, Carnivora, Herpestidae. The record is from RefSeq and is a predicted model, not a curated record. The transcript is spliced from 3 exons.